Molecule: ribosomal RNA, 396 nt
Filed under: uncultured bacterium
Lineage: Bacteria
Description: bacterial SSU rRNA
Rfam family: Bacterial small subunit ribosomal RNA
Source: RNAcentral
AUUGAACGCUGGCGGCAUGCCUUACACAUGCAAGUCGAACGGCAGCACGGGGGCAACCCUGGUGGCGAGUGGCGAACGGGUGAGUAAAGCAUCGGAACGUGCCCUGGAGUGGGGGGAUAACGUAGCGAAAGUUACGCUAAUACCGCAUAUUCUGUGAGCAGGAAAGCAGGGGGAUCGCAAGACCUUGCGCUCUGGGAGCGGCCGAUGUCGGAUUAGCUAGUUGGUGGGGUAAAGGCCUACCAAGGCGACGAUCCGUAGCGGGUCUGAGAGGAUGAUCCGCCACACUGGGACUGAGACACGGCCCAGACUCCUACGGAGGCAGCAGUGGGGAAUUUUGGACAAUGGGCGCAAGCCUGAUCCAGCCAUGCCGCGUGAGUGAAGAAGGCCUGGUGUAAG